RNAcentral lists this ribosomal RNA (1117 nucleotides) under Acinetobacter baumannii. RNAcentral describes it as "partial 23S ribosomal RNA". It matches the Rfam family "Bacterial large subunit ribosomal RNA", at positions 1 to 1168 of the family's 2925-position model. Lineage: Bacteria; Pseudomonadati; Pseudomonadota; Gammaproteobacteria; Moraxellales; Moraxellaceae. The record is from RNAcentral.
AGUCAAGUAAUUAAGUGCAUGUGGUGGAUGCCUUGGCAGUCAGAGGCGAUGAAAGACGUGAUAGCCUGCGAAAAGCUCCGGGGAGGCGGCAAAUAUCCUUUGAUCCGGAGAUGUCUGAAUGGGGGAACCCACCUACUUUAAGGUAGGUAUUGCAACAUGAAUACAUAGUGUUGCAAGGCGAACGAGGGGAAGUGAAACAUCUCAGUACCCUUAGGAAAAGAAAUCAAUUGAGAUUCCCUCAGUAGCGGCGAGCGAACGGGGAUCAGCCCAUUAAGUUAUGUGUGUUUUAGUGGAACGCUCUGGGAAGUGCGAACGUAGAGGGUGAUAUUCCCGUACACGAAAGGGCACACAUAAUGAUGACGAGUAGGGCGAGGCACGUGAAACCUUGUCUGAAUAUGGGGGGACCAUCCUCCAAGGCUAAAUACUCCUGACUGACCGAUAGUGAACCAGUACCGUGAGGGAAAGGCGAAAAGAACCCCUGUGAGGGGAGUGAAAUAGAUCCUGAAACCGCAUGCAUACAAGCAGUGGGAGCACCUUCGUGGUGUGACUGCGUACCUUUUGUAUAAUGGGUCAGCGACUUAUAUUCAGUAGCAAGGUUAACCGUAUAGGGGAGCCGUAGAGAAAUCGAGUCUUAAUAGGGCGUUUAGUUGCUGGGUAUAGACCCGAAACCAGGCGAUCUAUCCAUGAGCAGGUUGAAGGUUGGGUAACACUAACUGGAGGACCGAACCCACUGUCGUUGAAAAGCCAGGGGAUGACUUGUGGAUAGGGGUGAAAGGCUAAUCAAGCCUGGUGAUAGCUGGUUCUCCCCGAAAGCUAUUUAGGUAGCGCCUCGGACGAAUACCAUAGGGGGUAGAGCACUGUUUCGGCUAGGGGGUCAUCCCGACUUACCAAACCGAUGCAAACUCCGAAUACCUAUGAGUACUAUCCGGGAGACAGACUGCGGGUGCUAACGUCCGUAGUCAAGAGGAAAACAAUCCAGACCGCCAGCUAAGGCCCCAAAAUCAUAGUUAAGUGGGAAACGAUGUGGGAAGGCAUAGACAGCUAGGAGGUUGGCUUAGAAGCAGCCACCCUUUAAAGAAAGCGUAAUAGCUCACUAGUCGAGUCGGCCUGCGCGGAA